Molecule: ribosomal RNA, 592 nt
Filed under: uncultured bacterium
Lineage: Bacteria
Description: bacterial SSU rRNA
Rfam family: Bacterial small subunit ribosomal RNA
Source: RNAcentral
CCUACGGGGAGGCAGCAGUAGGGGAAUCUUCCGCAAUGGGACGAAAAGUCUGACGGAGCAACGCCGCGUGAGCGAUGAAGGGCCUUCGGGUCGUAAAGCUCUGUUGUCAGGGAAGAACAAGUACCGGAGUAACUGCCGGUACCUUGACGGUACCUGACCAGAAAGCCACGGCUAACUACGUGCCAGCAGCCGCGGUAAUACGUAGGUGGCAAGCGUUGUCCGGAAUUAUUGGGCGUAAAGCGCGCGCAGGCGGUUCCUUAAGUCUGAUGUGAAAGCCCCCGGCUCAACCGGGGAGGGUCAUUGGAAACUGGGGAACUUGAGUGCAGAAGAGGAAAGUGGAAUUCCAAGUGUAGCGGUGAAAUGCGUAGAGAUUUGGAGGAACACCAGUGGCGAAGGCGACUUUCUGGUCUGUAACUGACGCUGAGGCGCGAAAGCGUGGGGAGCAAACAGGAUUAGAUACCCUGGUAGUCCACGCUGUAAACGAUGAGUGCUAAGUGUUAGAGGGUUUCCGCCCUUUAGUGCUGCAGCAAACGCAUUAAGCACUCCGCCUGGGGAGUACGGCCGCAAGGCUGAAACUUAAAGGAAUUGACGG